GACGAACGCUGGCGGCGUGCUUAACACAUGCAAGUCGAACGAAGAGCGAUGGGAGCUUGCUUCUAUCAAUCUUAGUGGCGAACGGGUGAGUAACGCGUAAUCAACCUGCCCUUCAGAGGGGGACAACAGUUGGAAACGACUGCUAAUACCGCAUACGAUCUAAUCUCGGCAUCGAGGAUAGAUGAAAGGUGGCCUCUACAUGUAAGCUAUCACUGAAGGAGGGGAUUGCGUCUGAUUAGCUAGUUGGAGGGGUAACGGCCCACCAAGGCGAUGAUCAGUAGCCGGGCGGGGAGGAGGGACGGCACAAUGGGGAAGGAGAAGCGGCACAGACUCGUAGGGGGGGAAGCAGUGGGGAAUCUUCCGCAAUGGAGAAGAGUCUGACGGGGAAACGCGGGGGGGGUGAGGACGCCCUUGGGGUUUAAAAGCUCUUUUCAUCGGGACGAAAGCUCUUCUGGCGAAAAGUUGGAAGGUUGGACGGAACGGAAAAAGAAGGCCAGGGCAAACUAGGGG
This 510-nucleotide ribosomal RNA is filed under the name uncultured bacterium. Its description in RNAcentral is "partial 16S ribosomal RNA". It matches the Rfam family "Bacterial small subunit ribosomal RNA", at positions 28 to 507 of the family's 1533-position model. The record is from RNAcentral.